Long non-coding RNA from Panicum virgatum (switchgrass), 249 nucleotides. RefSeq lists it as uncharacterized. Lineage: Eukaryota; Viridiplantae; Streptophyta; Magnoliopsida; Poales; Poaceae. The record is from RefSeq and is a predicted model, not a curated record. The transcript is spliced from 3 exons.
CUUACAUGAUUCAUCUUCAUGCCAAAAGUAACUACUUGGUUCCUGAAAUUCAAAUAUCACAUUUGAUAAUUGCAAUGUCAGGUUGUGCGUGCAAACCAAAUUCAUUACAUCAAUCAGGAAAUACUACAACUCUGAAAUUUUCAUCUAAUUGCAGCUGCUGAUACACUAACUUUUAGAAUUAAACUGACCUGAUAUCUUUUUAAUUGAUGAUCAUCCUCUCUUUUGUUUGAUCUGCUUGUACUGUGACUC